RNAcentral lists this transfer RNA (76 nucleotides) under Pseudomonadota bacterium. RNAcentral describes it as "Proteobacteria bacterium tRNA-Thr". It matches the Rfam family "tRNA". From Rfam's summary of the family: Transfer RNA (tRNA) molecules are approximately 80 nucleotides in length. Their secondary structure includes four short double-helical elements and three loops (D, anti-codon, and T loops). Lineage: Bacteria; Pseudomonadati; Pseudomonadota. The record is from RNAcentral. RNAcentral also lists the same sequence under 1 other name.
GCCAGAGUAGCUCAGUCGGUAGAGCGCCUCACUUGUAAUGAGGAUGUCGCGGGUUCGACUCCUGUCUCUGGCUCCA